GCCUGAGUAGCUCAGUCGGUUGAGCAUCUGACUUUGGCUCAGGUCAUGAUCUUGCAGUUUGUGGGUUUGAGCCCCACAUUGGGCU
Molecule: transfer RNA, 85 nt
Filed under: Felis catus (domestic cat)
Lineage: Eukaryota; Metazoa; Chordata; Mammalia; Carnivora; Felidae
Also listed under: 1 other name
Rfam family: tRNA
About the family: Transfer RNA (tRNA) molecules are approximately 80 nucleotides in length. Their secondary structure includes four short double-helical elements and three loops (D, anti-codon, and T loops). Further hydrogen bonds mediate the characteristic L-shaped molecular structure. tRNAs have two regions of fundamental functional importance: the anti-codon, which is responsible for specific mRNA codon recognition, and the 3' end, to which the tRNAs corresponding amino acid is attached (by aminoacyl-tRNA synthetases). tRNAs cope with the degeneracy of the genetic code in two manners: having more than one tRNA (with a specific anti-codon) for a particular amino acid; and 'wobble' base-pairing, i.e. permitting non-standard base-pairing at the 3rd anti-codon position.
Source: Rfam by way of RNAcentral